ACAGACUGGCCACACACAGUGAAGGGGACACACUCUCCAGCUAAAGUGGCUUGAACAUGAUUUGAUCGUUUCCUAGAAAGCUCCAUUUUCCCGGCGGUUUAAAUUCGAGGAGAGCCGGCACAUUAUUUGGGGGAAAAUCACUCCCACCUCCCAGAGAACAGACAGACCCCUUUACAGUUCGUCCGGGAGAGCUCAGCAAGGAGGGAGUCUGGGCCCUGACCAGCGGGUUUCAGAGAGCCCCGACUUGUCUGCAGGGAAGCCCCAAACUAGCCUUGGAGUGCACUUGUCCUGGGCUGCCCGCCUUUAGUCAGCGGAAUAAAUCAGCCCUGGAAAAAGCUUGCCAUUAGCGGGCUCCGGGCUAGUCAGAAGUUCCCCCAACGUUUGGAAAUGGGGGCAGGUAAUGAGGCUGGCUUUGUGACUGCAGUCAUGUAGAUAGAAUCAGUCUCCCUCUGCCGCCAUCACCAGCCCCACGGAAGGAAGCUUCAAAUACCAGCUGGACCCUGCUUUGAGGGAGAAGAUAUGCAUUCCUCCUCUAUCCUUUUUACGGCCAACUAAUUCCUCCAUUACAUCAGCUCUUGAGCCGGAAAGCCAAGAUGAAGUUCUUGGCCGUCUGGACAGUUGAAAGAUGAAGCCCUCCUGCUACUCUUCAACCAGACAGCAGUGCAACAAGAAAGGAGAGGAGAUUUCUUCAUUUCUAUCUACUCUUUUAACAAAAAUUGGCGAUCUGCAAGAGAAGCACAAGAACAUCAGUCUAUGUUUGUCCAGGCAAGCCUGAGAGGGGAGUCCUUGCUCCUUUAUUCCUGGAUGCUUUCUUCUAUCUUUCUAUUUUGUUUACUGAGAAGCCAAAGACUGGGGUUUCUAAGAAUAAUCUUUCCCUGCAAAUUUGAAAGUUCCCAAGAAACCAAGAAUUCCUGAUUUCAAUUGUUUGGGCACAGCUUCCCAGGGGGAAGACAUUUCCUUGAUGAUGGGCCUACUGGAAAAGGAAAACACUCCUCGCCUCAUGGUUGCCCUUUAACUAGAAGAGUAAUGCCCUGCCUUGGCAGGGGGGAGAACCAAGAGUUCAGACCUUGCUAAUUCUGUGGUCUAAUAAUAAAAAACGAAGAGUUUUUAUUCAACACUCCUCCAAAGUGCAUUUACCUAUGGUGGAGAAAAGGCUCUCUGAUGGGUUUUUAGGGUACUUUACAUUUCUUUUUUCAGGGACUCCUGUGAGUCUUUUGUAUCUUGUGCAUAUUAUAUUGUGGAUGAAAUACAGGCUGUUCAAAUGCAUAAUAUGGUAUAUAAUAAGUGCCUAUGUGGGAGUGGGCACCCUGUUUCCCAGUUUUGUGGAAAACAAGACCAGAGCUUUAUUUUAAAGAUCUCCUUAGAGUUUAACUGGAGGAUGAGGGCAAUCAAAGAGAAGCUGAUCUCACUUGGGGUGGAUCCCUGGGAUCAAAUGAAGCUCACAUCAGUUCAGAAUCCUUGGGGGAGCUUGGAGCCUAGGUGACAUGGGCAAAUCCCCAUGAAAUCAGGAUGAGAUUGCAGCCUAAAAUAUUUAGCAGUCACUGUUACACUGGAGCAGAAUUAGACCUUAUUUUUUCCAAAGUGCUUUUUGCAAAGUAAUGACUUGGACCUUGGAAAUGCAGUGACGUGCAUGGAAAAAUUUAUUAGCCAUUAAGGCACUCAGCACAUGAGAGACUAUUUUCACUGAGAGAGGAUCAUUGGCCAGAACACCAGGAUUCUUACUAGCCAGAUGGUACUCCCACCUGAGCAUCAUUAAGGGAGAGUUAAAGGGGCCAGAGUCUCUACAAGGGGUUCUAAGCUCCACAUCACUUCUUGGACAUAUAGAAGCCCCAUGGAGUGGUGGAAUAUCAAGGGAGUAGGUUGCAAAUCUAGAGAAAUUUCAGGAAGCACGCAGAAGAGUGAUUUCAUUCACUGAUGAGGAGCUUCUUGUCACCUUGAUAAAAGCAGAUGGCCUCAGACCUGCCCCAAGACCACAAAAUGCAAAGUGCCACUAAAUCGACAGUCAUUUGGAGAUGAAUUCUAGACCCUUUGCUUUCUGCAUCAUCGAUACGUAAUCCUAGCUGAGUCAUUGCACCCUGUUCAACCUUUUAUGCCCUCCACACAAAGACUAUCAUGAUGACAGGGAGCAGGACUCGUUGCGUACUGUAAAUCAUUCUUAUUCAAUAAUGCUCCUGGUGAGUAAUAUGCUGCUAUUAUUCAAUAUCACUGACACUGACUGAGCAGAAAGGGGACCCACUUACUAGAGCAAGAUUAACUAGAUUGUUAUUAAUCACAUACUCUGUAAAAGUACAUUCCAAUAAUUGUUUUCAUUCUUUCUCAUAUUUAAAGAGAGUUUCUGCUUUGUCAUCCUUUCAGCUGUUGUUUUUAAUAGAAAAUCAACUCCCAGAGAGGAGAAACAAUUUAUCAGAAAUGAUAUAAUCCUGAAAUUUCCUGUCUAUUCACUGAGCCACACUUCCACAUGCUAGGCUGUGCCAAGGUUGAAGUCUGGGCACUAGAGGGGAUCUUACUAAAUCCUUUGGGACUCAAAUCCUGAUUCACUGACUAAACAAAGCAACAUAAACUGUGUGUGUUGUGUUUUUGUUUUUUUCCUAAGCUGGGGAUGUAUUGAAGACCAUAGGGAAUCCUAGAGAACCAUAGGAAAGAGUCUAAUUAUAGGUUCAAGGGGGGAAGUAGGUUAAAGACAGGAAAGCCUUAUAAAUAGAGAUAACUGGCAUCUGAGAAGAGAGAAAUAAUAAUAACUGGUAGAAGAUAUGAGGGAACUGAUUAUAGGUAUAAAAAUGUAUUUUAUUUCAGUAUUACUGUAGGAAGUACUGGAGAAAGAAUAUUUCUCAGCUAACUCCUGAGAUGAUACUCACUCAGUUGUUGGCCCAGCAAGUGAGUUUGUCAUGUUGGUUUUUUUUCCUCUAAAUCGAUUCCCCUUCUCCCCUCAUCCAUUUUGUUAUACGUCUCCCAGUUUUCCUCCAAUUCAAUUCCAUUAAACUUAUUUUAUUCAAUUCCAUUUUUAUUUUAUAUUUAUAUUUAUUUUUUCAAUUCCAUUAAACUCAAUUUAUUGCAUGCCUUCUGCAUAUAGAACUCUAUGCGAGGCGAGAUAAUAGGGUUUAAUAAAAUUCAGUGUUUGCUUCAUAUAACCUUGUCCUCCUGGAGCUUACAGCCACUCGUUGUUAUGAAACUUAUGGAAAUGCUUCUUCAUUUCAAAAAUCUUUUUCUCCAGGUUGUCUUCCCUUUGUUCGUGUAGCUCACAGCCCCUUCAUAUUGUAGAAUAUAUUCUUCAUGGACAAAAGGGAAUUCACCACCUGCUGUCCAAGCGUGUAGAAAUGAGAUUCCCCUAACUUACCGAGACUAGACUCUGGAUAACAGACACACUGGCCACCAUUGUCCAAGACCCAGGAGCCUUUCCAGUUUGGCAGGGCCUGCCAAAAUGGGCUCUUAGCUUCAGUCUCUUUUAGAAAGUCCAGGUUAUGAGCUUAUCACAAUGAGGCUAUCUUUCCUAAUAUCUGGUUAGGCGUGGUUCAGCCCCAUUCCCCUUGGGGCCAUGAGCCCAGGACAUUUCCGCACCUAAGUGGUUAAAACAGACAAGCAAAACAAGACACUGGAUCAUGCACUGUGCCAAAUGCCUAGCACGUCUAUUUUGGAAGUCAGCAUUUCCACAGUAAGUUGUUGAGAUAAUGCAUUAUGCCUCAGUCAUUUUAAUAGGAAUUCCCUGUAGUCCUGGUCCCUUUGCAGCUUGAAAUCUCACUGCAAACAAAUGCUAGAUUCUCAUCUAACAGAUUUCACUUCACCUAAACAGAUUUGCUUUCUUUUUCCUUAUCACAAGAACCCAAGGGUAAGAAAUGCUAUUUGGGAAGGAUGCCUAGUUUUUCUAAUUGACAUAAGGUUAUUCAAUGCAAUUCAACACAUGUUGAGUUCCUAUUAUUAUGUCCCUUUAAAAAAAUGUUUCUUGUUAGCUAGAGAAUCAUCAGGAAACAUAAACAUUUCCCUACUGAAAGGCCAUCUGAAACCACGAACCCAUUACAUCCAGCUUGUUAUUUUUAAAAAAACGUUAAAUUUAACAUGGUGUUACCAAUGUUAUAUUUGUCUGCUAAUAAUAUCUUUUUGCACUAUUCAGUGGAUUGUUUAAAUGUCAUUAAUACUCUUUCUUUUCUUUUGUAUCAUUCUCAUCAUCAUCCCUUAAUUCUCCCUUUAAUUGUCCUACCUGAAACAAACAAACAAACAAAAAUCUCCUUUGCAACUCACAAGACAAGGAAAAUAUACAUAUUAUAUUGGCAAAGUCUGAAAAUACAUGUAACAUUCCAUGCCCCUCUACAACAAAGAGGAGGGGAGGGAGUCAUGGCUCCUUAUCUGUCUUUUGGAGUUGUGAUUACCUUGAGCAAAGCUCUUAAGCCUUUCACCCUUAGGGGAGGAGACAUAGGAGAAAAUUCCCUUUAUAAGGAGAGAAAAAGCUGAGUCUCAGGACAGUCAGAAGAAUCCCUCUCUGGAGAAGGAUGGAUGGCUGAACUGGUGUCACUAGAAUCCUUGCUUGGACAGAUCUUGUGGUGAGUGAUUAAGGACUGACUGAUCUUUUCUCUUAAGGCUUAGGCCUGGGUUGGCGAGGACUGGCCAGGGCCGGCUUAUCCCUUUCUCAUUAUUUCCUUUUUCUCUUUCUCUCUUUCUUUAAUUCCUCAUUGUAUUAUUAAUUAAAUUCUCUAUAAAACCCAGUUGACUUGGGUAUAUUCAUAAUUGGGAAUAUUUCCCUGGUGACCACCUUAUAUAUUGAUUUAAAAACAAGACACUGUGGUAAAAACAUAUUUCCUGCGGUCACAAUUUACUCACCCACUCUUAUAUCUAUCACAAUUUAUAUCUUCCACUAUUUAAUCACUACAGUUUAUAACACCCAACCAUUUUAACUCUUACAGUUUAAGACUCCCACUCUUUUAAUUAUUACAGAAAUAAAAUUCUUCUGUCAUAUCUCUAA
Monodelphis domestica (gray short-tailed opossum) is the source of this 4951-nucleotide long non-coding RNA. RefSeq lists it as uncharacterized. The record is from RefSeq and is a predicted model, not a curated record. NCBI's taxonomy places the organism in Eukaryota, Metazoa, Chordata, Mammalia, Didelphimorphia, Didelphidae.